UCAAUUUUGUUUGGCUAUUUAAGGGAACUCAGGACAUAUUAUUGAUAUUGAUUUGGAGAGGACAAAUAAAACUUACCUUGGGAUGUCUAGCAUUGUUGGGAGAAGUAGAAUGUAUCCAUGAGAAGAGUUGGAUUUGUUAAAAAAAAAGCCCAGAAUUUAUUCAAGUGAAUAAGAGUACUUCUGAAAGAACCGCCAUUCCAGUCAUCUUCAAUUCUUUUUUACCUCAUUUGGAAUUUUCUUGGCAAAGAUACUGGAUUGGUUUGCUAUUUUCUUCAGCUUUUACAGAUGAGGAAUUGGCUCAAAUAGGAUUAAAUGACUUGCCUAAGAUCACACAGCUGAAAGAAAAAUUAAAUGACAAAAUGGGGUCAUGA
This 371-nucleotide long non-coding RNA is filed under the name Monodelphis domestica (gray short-tailed opossum). Its description in RNAcentral is "lncRNA (ENSMODG00000031035.2)". The record is from RNAcentral. Lineage: Eukaryota; Metazoa; Chordata; Mammalia; Didelphimorphia; Didelphidae.